Molecule: ribosomal RNA, 401 nt
Filed under: uncultured bacterium
Lineage: Bacteria
Description: partial 16S ribosomal RNA
Rfam family: Bacterial small subunit ribosomal RNA
Source: RNAcentral
UGGGGAAUAUUGGACAAUGGGGGCAACCCUGAUCCAGCAAUGCCGCGUGUGUGAAGAAGGUUUUCGGAUUGUAAAGCACUUUCGGCGGGGACGAUGAUGACGGUACCCGCAGAAGAAGCCCCGGCUAACUUCGUGCCAGCAGCCGCGGUAAUACGAAGGGGGCUAGCGUUGCUCGGAAUGACUGGGCGUAAAGGGCGUGUAGGCGGUUUGUACAGUCAGAUGUGAAAUCCCCGGGCUUAACCUGGGAGCUGCAUUUGAUACGUGUAGACUAGAGUGUGAGAGAGGGUUGUGGAAUUCCCAGUGUAGAGGUGAAAUUCGUAGAUAUUGGGAAGAACACCGUGGCGAAGGCGGCAACCUGGCUCAUAACUGACGCUGAGGCGCGAAAGCGUGGGGGAGCAAAC